Molecule: small nucleolar RNA, 114 nt
Filed under: Erinaceus europaeus (western European hedgehog)
Lineage: Eukaryota; Metazoa; Chordata; Mammalia; Eulipotyphla; Erinaceidae
Description: Small nucleolar RNA SNORA3/SNORA45 family (ENSEEUG00000023516.1)
Source: RNAcentral
AGAGAAAGACACCUGCAGACCUGGUAUGCUUGAGUGCUCAGAGAGAACUUGCGGGGCUUGAUCACUGGCAGAGGGCUGUGAGUGCCUUUGCUAAUGCCUGGGUCAGAAACACAC